AGAAAAAAGAAAUGAAUAGAAAAAAGGCGCCUAUGCUUUUUUUUUUUUAAAAGACUGAACGGAUUUUUUUUUUUUUAAAACGCAAUUUCCCAUCAUUUUUUUUCCUCCUACU
This 112-nucleotide non-coding RNA is filed under the name Florenciella parvula. Lineage: Eukaryota; Dictyochophyceae; Florenciellales. The record is from RNAcentral.